GCCCCCCACACUUAUGUCCCAGGCCACCAGCAUUUACCCCACAGCUCACAAAAAAGCAGAGGGCUUGUUUCUGACCCAGGUGGGUGGUUUCAAACCCAGGUGGGUGGUUUCACCUCUCUGAGCCAUAGUUUCUUCAAGGGCAGCGGAGGAAAAUACAGCUGAUUCUCAUUAUUUGCAGUAGUCACGUUCUGUAAAUUAGUAGGAAACACUGAGUUAGCAAAUACUGAGCCAUUAUUCUUAGGGAAAAUACAAGGUUAGGUUUCUAUGAGCCUCUGACGACCUAUUUGUCCACUGAUCAAUACUUAAAGCUUGUUUUAUGUGUUUCUGUUUAGAUAUCUUAUUUAAUACAUAUCAUUGAUUCAUUAACAAAACAAACACCCCUGUUCUCUCUGUAAGGUAUCACAGCCUUUUGCAAUUAGGAAUACUAGAAAGCACUUCAGUACUAUGCUUGUGGCCAUUUAUAAUACCCGAAUCACCAACAAAAAAGCACAAAAAUGUGAAGCCUGGCACUAAAUAGACCACGAAAAGGACGCUUGUUUACAGUGUGAGCUGAAAAGGGAGAGCAGAGCGUCUGCCGCCUCGGACUUCAGCUGGGAAUGCGCGCGUAGGAUGAUUCAAAUUUUUGCCAUUCUAUACAUGUCCGUGAAUGACCCUGAAGGCACAAAGCAAAGCCUGAAAUAGGAUUUGAGUACAAGUCGUCUUUUGGAAGGUGAUCACAAGAAGUACCAGUGGGGAUGCGAGAAGAGGAAAGAAAAGGAAGAACACAAAGUGCUUGAUGGAGAAAAUGAAGCCCAGAUGGGGAAAAGAUGUUCCCCGAGACCCCCAGGGAUUAGAGGCUCCCAAUCAAAGUGUUUCUACUUUUGAGAAAAACAACAAGAGGUUCAGGGAGUCUCAGAGAGCAUCCUGACAUGAGCCACUGGUGUGUCCUGAAGGGGCCUGAAGAACAAAAACUUCUCAGCAGUUAAGAAAAUAUGUGGACAAAUAUUAUGGGAGGAGGCAGCAUAUCAUUGUCUCCAAGCGCCGAAGUCUUUCUUACAAGAUAAAAAUGGCUGCCAUAUACAGCCUCAUUGCACCCCUUCCUCAGAGUCCGAGUCUAGACCCCAGUGCACUUGUACUCCAAGUUCGGAGAUGCCAGCAGCAGCCAUGCAGCACCUGCUUCGCAGAGGUUCACUUUUCCGCUCCAUGGGACCCAAUCUCUAAUUUGCAAACCGUUUUCAUAUCUAGCUUCCCGUCAAGCCAGGCAAUGCCAGAGCCUUGAGGAUUACACAGGAGAAGGAUGACUGACUUUCCCACUUCACAGAAGAGAAUAUUGAGGCUCAGGGAGGCGAAGAGGCUCAAGGGCAUAUGACUGGUGAGGACCUGGCUCUCAAAGAAGCUCUUGAGGUAGCAACGGGAGUAGAUCAUAAACCAUGGACCGUGUUGUCUGCUUUUGCAAAGGACUCUUGGACGUCCAUAUUGCAAACUGAACCUGGACUGAGGGAGAUCCUGGGCCUGAGCCAAGGUUGUGUUUGUGACUCUUAUUGUCCCAGAAAAUGGAAAACACAGUGACCUCUAUGAAGAACUCAUUGCUUCUAGCUUCUGCAUCUACUCCAUGGUGAGCAUCAGCCAUAUCCGUGUAUACCGAA
Long non-coding RNA from Pteropus alecto (black flying fox), 1625 nucleotides. RefSeq lists it as uncharacterized. The transcript has 8 exons. NCBI's taxonomy places the organism in Eukaryota, Metazoa, Chordata, Mammalia, Chiroptera, Pteropodidae. The record is from RefSeq and is a predicted model, not a curated record.